RNAcentral lists this microRNA (22 nucleotides) under Xenopus laevis (African clawed frog). RNAcentral describes it as "Xla-Mir-12483-P1_3p* (star (passenger))". The record is from RNAcentral. Lineage: Eukaryota; Metazoa; Chordata; Amphibia; Anura; Pipidae. RNAcentral also lists the same sequence under 1 other name.
AGAAGUGAAUGUGUUGUUAGCU